CCAACUGGGCAGAGGGAUCCUCCUCACAUCAUCACUGCUGAAGGCGUCCAGUGUCAGAUGCCAGAGUUCAAGAGGGUAUCAACUACAACUCUUUGUUCAGUACAUCAUUAAUCUCUUGAGGAACUCUGUCGUCAGAGCGCAGCCCUGCACACCAGCAGUCAACAACAGGGGAGUGAAGCUGAUGGUGAGUGCUCACAUGAGUCAGCUGGAAGCAUGGGAUGAACAAAAUUCAGCAGUGAUCUGACAAAGCUGAGAUGAAACAGGAUUCAGCUCGAGGCCAGGUGAUGUGACACAAGCUAAUUAGAGCCUCCCUCAGGAGUAUGAGAUGAGACCUCUGGACUAAGAGAUGGACUACUUUUGUUUCAGUGACCAGUGGUGGUAUGGAGAGUUUCGCUGACCUUAAGGUCCUUUGAAUCUGACCCAGCAUAGGCUAUCAAGGUUUAUAUUCUCAAAAGUCCCUCAAAACUCUUUUAGGAGCUGAAGUAAUGCAGGAAAUCAGAAUGAAGCCCAGGGAAUAACCUCGCAGAAAAGGAGCUAUUAACCAUCGUGACAGACCUAGUACCUUGGAAGGCUAAGGCUAAGACAGUGCAUGUUUUCAGCAUGGUGUACUAAUAACAACUAGCACAUGAGCUUCUCCAUUUCCAAUAUACUCCUCCAAACGUU
Long non-coding RNA from Pogoniulus pusillus (Red-fronted tinkerbird), 663 nucleotides. RefSeq lists it as uncharacterized. The record is from RefSeq and is a predicted model, not a curated record. The transcript is spliced from 2 exons. Lineage: Eukaryota; Metazoa; Chordata; Aves; Piciformes; Lybiidae.